Molecule: ribosomal RNA, 505 nt
Filed under: uncultured bacterium
Lineage: Bacteria
Description: partial 16S ribosomal RNA
Rfam family: Bacterial small subunit ribosomal RNA
Source: RNAcentral
GACGAACGCUGGCGGCGUGCCUAAUACAUGCAAGUAGAACGCACAGUUUAUACCGUAGCUUGCUACACCAUAAACUGUGAGUUGCGAACGGGUGAGUAACGCGUAGGUAACCUGCCUGGUAGCGGGGGAUAACUAUUGGAAACGAUAGCUAAUACCGCAUAAUAUUGAUUAUUGCAUGAUAAUUGAUUGAAAGAUGCUACUGCAUCACUACCAGAUGGACCUGCGUUGUAUUAGCUAGUAGGUGAGGUAACGGCUCACCUAGGCGACGAUACAUAGCCGACCUGAGAGGGUGAUCGGCCACACUGGGACUGAGACACGGCCCAGACUCCUACGGGAGGCAGCAGUAGGGAAUCUUCGGCAAUGGACGAAAGUCUGACCGAGCAACGCCGCGUGAGUGAAGAAGGUUUUCGGAUCGUAAAGCUCUGUUGUAAGAGAAGAACGGGUGUGAGAGUGGAAAGUUCACACUGUGACGGUAUCUUACCAGAAAGGGACGGCUAACUACGUG